This 1269-nucleotide long non-coding RNA is filed under the name Nicotiana benthamiana. RNAcentral describes it as "long non-coding RNA (NBEN_LNC028132)". Lineage: Eukaryota; Viridiplantae; Streptophyta; Magnoliopsida; Solanales; Solanaceae. The record is from RNAcentral.
ACAGAUAUGCGGCGCUCCCCUCCCCCUUCUACUGUUCAUCAUCUUCCCCAACUCUCAAACUCACCAUUGACUCGCCCGAGCUCACUCAAUGAUCCCCUUCGUUGGUCCCCUCCUCUCUUCUCUCCUUCUUCCACGUCACGAAAUCGUACAGGUAUCAUCAUUGCGAAUUGAUUCACAUAAUUUUCUUCCUUCAUCUUCUUUUUCUAACCAACAAUCCGAAUCCCUUAGAUGAACGAUUGGAAAAUGGGAGCCGUUGGAUCAAGGUCUUGAUCCAAGACCUCCAUUUUUUGAUUUUUUUUUUACUAAAAAGGGAUUUUCGGAUUUUGUAUUUGGGGACCACACGGUCUCGGGAUUUCUUGGAGAGGAAGAGAGGAAGCUUUUAGGGCUUCAUAUAUAUAUUUGGGGUCUCGGACAAAACAGGGGGCUGGAGAAAAUUUGGGGUUGAUUCUAGGGUUCUUUAAGUUUUUUUUUUAAAAAUUUUGGUUCGAUUGGGAUUCCGGAAAAAUAAAAAUACAAAAAUAGUUUUGAGUUUCAUUUUUGUUCAAGAUUUUGCUUCAUUUCGAAAAUCAGAAAAAUAUGAAAAUAUAUGCAAUACAGUUCUGCUUUCGUCCGUUCAAAUUUUGGAUUUAGGAUUCAGCUUUGGAGUUUGAUCAAGGUUUACUGCAGAGUUUGAAGUAGCCGUCGAAGUUCGUUCGUGAUUCGGUUCUCAUAAAUUGUUCGUAGGCUGAUCGUCGUGUCGAAUACAGUCAUAACUGCUGCUUCGAUUUUCUUUCUCGUGUUACUGCAGAAGUUUUAUUAAUUGAAGUCCAAUUCUAGGUUCACAUCUACUACCUCUGUCCCUGUUUUAUUUGUUUGAAUGUGUUGAGCUUUGGUCUGUGCGCUUGAUCUAAUGUUCAACUCUGACUAUAAGUGAUCUGAAUCUGCAGAAAUGAACAACAUAUUUCCUUGAUCUUUAUUGUGUUAGAGAUUGUAGACUGUGCUUAUGUUCGCCAUUGUGUCAUGGUUUCCCUGUUGGUUGCAAUGUGUUUGUUUUACCAUUUUUUACGAACAUUUCUGCUCGGUUUGGUUGAGUUUGUAAGUUGGAAUGAGUUUCUGAAAUUGUUUUGAUGAUUCUCUGUCUGUCUUGGCUCGGUUAGUUUCCAAUGUCUUCUGAAAAUCGCAUAAAUCCAUGAGUCUUAAUCGAGUCAACCCCAGCAGCUUGUGCUAGCUUAGUUCAUAAUCCUAUUAUGUUUUCUCUUAUGUCGCAAUUUGGUUUGAAUUUGUAUAACC